Microcebus murinus (gray mouse lemur) is the source of this 1647-nucleotide non-coding RNA. The record is from RefSeq and is a predicted model, not a curated record. Lineage: Eukaryota; Metazoa; Chordata; Mammalia; Primates; Cheirogaleidae.
GUUCACUUUACAAUGCUUCAAAAGAUAACUUUUCCAAGUUUCUUAUAGCCCAUUGAAGUAUAUUUCAAGAUUGUCUUCAUUUUCAGUGUAGUGUGGCUUUAAAUUGGCAUCUCUGUGAGUGGAUGUACCUGUGUACACAUGAAACUAUUUCUUUGACCCCUUUAAGGAAAAGUUAGGAGAAGAAUGACUACUCCCUGAAAACAACAGUGUGCUUAUUGUCAACCAUGCCAUGGUAUUCCACUAAAGCUGAGGUGCUCUAGAUGAAAAUACAUGUUCCCACACCUGUGGUAAUUUUGGGGUGGUAUAUUCUUGAGUUGUUAUAUAAAUAGUUACAGUGCUCUAAACCUCCAACAGGAAGUAACCACUCAAUAAUGUUAAGUAUUUCUGUUUUCUCCACAGAUCUUCACACCUGUCAGAUGACAAAAGGUCAGAUCAAAUCAAAUCAAAGUGCCCGAAGGAAAUUAGUCUGGAACUGUCUGCUGCCCCUCCAGGCCUGGAGGCUUGAUGUUCAAGUGGGAAUCAAGAACAAGAUAGUUCGGCUGGCCCGGUGGCUCACACCUGCAAUCCUAGCACUCUGAGAGGCCGAGGCGGGAGGAUUGCUUGAGCUUGGGAGUUUGAGACCAGCCUGAGCAAGAAAGAGCAAGACCCCAUCUCUACUAAAAACAAACAAAAAAACAAGAUAGUCCAGAGCUUCCCAAGCUUUGUGCAACCAGUGAGUCACAGGCAUCUCCUGACCCAUGGUCUUCACAAAAGCCCAGCAUGUCCCAAGGUAGCCAUGCCUUUUGGCUGGUAACUGUGGCUCCUGGCUGGGAGCCUCUGGACAUGAACAGUUUGGCAGGGGCUUGAGCAGAAUGGAAUCAGGCACUCUUCCUGUGUGUGGCCUAGGAGAUGCUCCACUCCCUCGGUUGACUUCAGGAACCAGCUGGCAGUUAUAAAGUGUGCAUUGUGAAAUGCCUGUCAUAUGUGUUUCUUGGGCUGGUGAUCUCCCGGAUGAAGACAAAUAUGAAACAGAAAAAAGGAUGUUUGUGUGGGGGCCAGCCCGUCACUGACCCUGUCACUGUGUGCUGGCCUUUCCCACCACGGACGUUACGCUUUGCUCAGGAUCCUGCCUCUUAACUCUUCUGCCCUACCCUGCUCUCUUUCUCCUGGGCAUGCAUCUGAAUGUGGGUCCUGUUUCUCAAAACACUCAUAUUUAUCCCAUAGUGUAUAUGGGAGACAAUGUAGCAAAUAUGCUUUGUGUCUUCAAAAAUAUGGUAUUUUUUUUUGCCAUUUUCUUUUAUAAAAGGGAAGAGCGCCAUUAAGAUGUUCAAACUUGAAUUAUACAUAGAAAAUGUGAAUAUUACUCAUUAAAGUGACAACCUCUGUACCAUUUUUUUUGUCCUAAAUUACACCACUAAUCCAAAUAUUGUAAGGAAGAGCUGGUUUAUGAAAGGUGAUUAAGUUAGCAGUGAUGGAUGCUUAUGUUUUAAAUAAAAAAUGUCAGCUCCUUAAUAUAUCACAGACUCCUAAUUUAUAAAGCUGUGCCCCUUUAGCAGUCUGCCCAUCUCAUUUGUCUCCUGGGUUUUCUUUAUUUUGAGGACACAGCGCUGCUAUUAUUUUAGGGGCACAUCCUUGGGUGUGGCGGCAUUGGUGACAGAACAGGGUAGA